Molecule: transfer RNA, 18 nt
Filed under: Dendropsophus parviceps (Sarayacu treefrog)
Lineage: Eukaryota; Metazoa; Chordata; Amphibia; Anura; Hylidae
Description: partial tRNA-Gln
Source: RNAcentral
GUAGGAAUCGAACCUACA